UCAGAUAAAGGCAAACCCUGGGUAACCAGGGGACGCAAAGUAAAGGAUCUUUAAAAUAUUUUCCUGCUAUGACAGGAAAAAUAUAAAGACAGCCUUACUGCCGAAG
Molecule: non-coding RNA, 106 nt
Filed under: Candidatus Brocadia
Lineage: Bacteria; Pseudomonadati; Planctomycetota; Candidatus Brocadiia; Candidatus Brocadiales; Candidatus Brocadiaceae
Also listed under: 1 other name
Description: c-di-GMP sequence
Rfam family: c-di-GMP-I-GGC riboswitch aptamer
Source: RNAcentral